This 73-nucleotide transfer RNA is filed under the name Mustela putorius furo (domestic ferret). It matches the Rfam family "tRNA". From Rfam's summary of the family: Transfer RNA (tRNA) molecules are approximately 80 nucleotides in length. Their secondary structure includes four short double-helical elements and three loops (D, anti-codon, and T loops). Further hydrogen bonds mediate the characteristic L-shaped molecular structure. tRNAs have two regions of fundamental functional importance: the anti-codon, which is responsible for specific mRNA codon recognition, and the 3' end, to which the tRNAs corresponding amino acid is attached (by aminoacyl-tRNA synthetases). tRNAs cope with the degeneracy of the genetic code in two manners: having more than one tRNA (with a specific anti-codon) for a particular amino acid; and 'wobble' base-pairing, i.e. permitting non-standard base-pairing at the 3rd anti-codon position. Lineage: Eukaryota; Metazoa; Chordata; Mammalia; Carnivora; Mustelidae. The record is from Rfam by way of RNAcentral.
ACUUGACUGGUUCAGUUAGUGGAGCAUGGGACUCGUGAUCUCAGGGUUGUGGGUUUAAAUCCUACGUUAGGUG